UCGAGGUUCGACUAAGCCAUGCCAGUCGAAUGCCGCAAGGCAUGGCGUACUGCUCAGUAACACGUGGACAACCUACCCUUAGGACUGGGAUAACCCCGGGAAACUGGGAAUAAUCCCCGAUAGUCCUCGAAGGCUGGAAUGCAUCGAGGGCGAAAGCUCCGGCGCCUAAGGAUGGGUCUGCGGCCUAUCAGGUAGCAGUGGGUGUAGCGUACCUACUAGCCUACGACGGGUACGGGUUGUGAGAGCAAGAGCCCGGAGAUGGAUUCUGAGACACGAAUCCCGGCCCUACGGGGUGCAGCAGGCGCGAAAACUUUACAAUGCUGGCAACAGCGAUAAGGGAACCUCGAGUGCCAGGUUACAAAUCUGGCUGUCGAGAUGCCUAAAAAGCAUUUCAUAGCAAGGGCCGGGCAAGACCGGUGCCAGCCGCCGCGGUAACACCGGCGGCUCUAGUGGUAACCGUUAUUAUUGGGUCUAAAGGGUCUGUAGCCGGCCGGAUAAGUCUCUUGGGAAAUCUGGCAGCUCUAUUGUCAUGCUAUCAAGAGAUACUGUCUGG
This 553-nucleotide ribosomal RNA is filed under the name uncultured archaeon. RNAcentral's name for it is "bacterial SSU rRNA". It matches the Rfam family "Archaeal small subunit ribosomal RNA", at positions 33 to 591 of the family's 1478-position model. The record is from RNAcentral.